This is a long non-coding RNA of Gossypium raimondii (Peruvian cotton), 1170 nucleotides long. RefSeq lists it as uncharacterized. The record is from RefSeq and is a predicted model, not a curated record. Lineage: Eukaryota; Viridiplantae; Streptophyta; Magnoliopsida; Malvales; Malvaceae. The transcript is spliced from 2 exons.
UUUUCAGUUAAUGCUUUCUCUCUCUCUCUCUCUCUCUCUCUUCUGUUCUUUUUCUUCUCUCUCUUUCUCAACCCUAACCGCCGCACCUUACACCGCCGCCUCACCGCUGUCGAACUCCGGUCAGGGGCAACCAAAAUGAAGUUCUCUUUUUCCUCUAUCCUUUUCACUUUUUGGAUUUCCAUGAAACACCUCGGAAAUCCACGAAUGCCUAAAUCGAGAUUCGGACUUUCCUCGGCCCCGAUCUCCGCCGGGCAUUGUCGGAUCACCGCGAUUUUUCAGUAUGUUUUCCUCGACACGCACACUGUUCGGAUUUUCGAACGGAGCUCCGCUGCUUAAGAACUUGAGAAUGCCGAAACUAAUGGGUUCUUCUUGAUUCCUGAGUUCCGGUUCUGAAUUGGUGAGGGUUGACUUUUUACUGGUGCGACGGUAGAAAUGGGAUAACGGUGGUGAGGGAACCGUGAGAGAUGGUGGAGGUAGUGAGGGACUAGGGUUUUGGCUUUCUACAAUGGUGGUCAGAUUGUUCAGUGAAGCUUUAUUGUUGAUGGCUAAUGGUUGAUUUCAUGGGUGAUAGUGAUGAGUUAUGGGAGAUGGCGAGGUGAGCUCGCUGGUGAGGGGUAAUUUUGAUAGGAGAUGGUGAAGGAGAUUGUAAUGGUGGUUGGGAGAGUCUUUGUGAAAGGUUGAAUGGAGGGGAAAGUGCCGAGUGAGGCUGGAGUGGGUGCCUGAAAGAGUGGGAGAGCGGCGGUGUUGAGGGAGGUGUAGUGAGUUGGAGGUGUGAGGUUGUAAAUGGUUAUGGUAAAGGCGGGAUCAGUUAUGGAGGAUGGCGAGGGGAUGAUGGUGCUCGAGAAUGGGAGAAUAACCAGGGGAAGUGAGGAAGAGUGUUUUCUUUUUCUGUUUUAUGGAGGAGGCAGAGCUAGGAUGCUGGAUGAUGGGAGGUGCUGGCGGUGGUAGGCCGGUUGUGAUGUGAGUGUACAACUUGUAGGGGUGCAGGUGCCAAAUUGCAAGCUUUAGUAAUUUACGAUCAAAUUGUUGUAUUCAAUAAACUAGAGGGGCCCUUUUGUAACUAUCCUUUUUGAGAUUUUUCAUUUUUUUUACAUAAUAAAAUAUAGUAAAUGUAUAACAUUUAUAAAAACUAAAUACAUGUCAGGUACUGUAGAAGUUCUUAUUCCAUAA